This is a long non-coding RNA of Fukomys damarensis (Damara mole-rat), 340 nucleotides long. RefSeq lists it as uncharacterized. Lineage: Eukaryota; Metazoa; Chordata; Mammalia; Rodentia; Bathyergidae. The transcript is spliced from 3 exons. The record is from RefSeq and is a predicted model, not a curated record.
ACAGGGCUGCACACGGAGCGGCGGGAACGCAGAACUCCGGAGACACCUACAAGCCUCACCACCUUUGAGACGAGGCUGCUUUGGUUAAAUGAAGAGCCAGAGAGGCAGGGGACACAGAGCAUUUCAGGAAGUGUCCCCCGAAGACUCCUGUAUGGAGGGCUUGAUCCCCAUUGCAGCACUGUUCAGCGGCGGAGCCCGGAGAGGCGGCCAGUUGUGGCGGCACUAAUCUCACCUGUGGAUUAACCCACUGAUGAGUUCACGGCUGAAGGAGCCCUUAGGAGUGAUGUGCCUGCCUCGCCCCAGGUCCAAGAGGACUGAAAGCUCUGAAACUCUCAGCCGA